RNAcentral lists this ribosomal RNA (460 nucleotides) under uncultured bacterium. RNAcentral's name for it is "partial 16S ribosomal RNA". It matches the Rfam family "Bacterial small subunit ribosomal RNA", at positions 338 to 795 of the family's 1533-position model. The record is from RNAcentral.
CCUACGGGUGGCAGCAGUGAGGAAUAUUGGUCAAUGGACGGAAGUCUGAACCAGCCAUGCCGCGUGAAGGAAGACGGCUCUAUGAGUUGUAAACUGCUUUUGUACAAGGGUAAACCUGAAUACGUGUAUUCAGCUGAAAGUACUGUACGAAUAAGGAUCGGCUAACUCCGUGCCAGCAGCCGCGGUAAUACGGAGGGUCCAAGCGUUAUCCGGAUUUAUUGGGUUUAAAGGGUGCGUAGGCGGAUUGAUAAGUUAGAGGUGAAAUGUCCGGGCUUAACCCGGGAAGUGCAUCUAAUACUGGUGAUCUAGAGAAGAGAUGCGGUAGGCGGAAUGCAUGGUGUAGCGGUGAAAUGCUUAGAGAUCAUACAGAACACCGAUUGCGAAGGCAGCUUACCAAUCUAUAACUGACGUUGAGGCACGAAAGCGUGGGGAGCAAACAGGAUUAGAUACCCGGGUAGUC